This 72-nucleotide transfer RNA is filed under the name Aeromonas veronii. RNAcentral describes it as "tRNA-Arg". It matches the Rfam family "tRNA". Rfam says of the family: Transfer RNA (tRNA) molecules are approximately 80 nucleotides in length. The record is from RNAcentral. Lineage: Bacteria; Pseudomonadati; Pseudomonadota; Gammaproteobacteria; Aeromonadales; Aeromonadaceae.
CUGAUAUUAGUUCAGGGGAUAGAACAGCCCCCUCCUAAGGGGCAGACACUGGUUCGAAUCCAGUAUAUCAGA